Non-coding RNA from Podarcis lilfordi (Lilford's wall lizard), 72 nucleotides. Lineage: Eukaryota; Metazoa; Chordata; Lepidosauria; Squamata; Lacertidae. The record is from the annotation of a GenBank genome assembly.
UGCGAUAGCUCAGUCAGUGGAGCUUGAGACUCUUCAUUUCAGGGUCCUGGGUUCAAGCCCCACGUUGAGCAA